UACCAGGUGGUGGUGAGGAAGGCUCUCUGA
Molecule: non-coding RNA, 30 nt
Filed under: Homo sapiens (human)
Lineage: Eukaryota; Metazoa; Chordata; Mammalia; Primates; Hominidae
Source: RNAcentral